UACGGAGGGUGCAAGCGUUAUCCGGAUUUACUGGGCUUAAAGGGUGCGUAGGUGGGUCUGUAAGUCAGUGGUGAAAUCUCCGAGCUUAACUCGGAAACUGCCAUUGAUACUAUAGGUCUUGAAUUAUCUGGAGGUAAGCGGAAUAUGUCAUGUAGCGGUGAAAUGCUUAGAUAUGACAUAGAACACCAAUUGCGAAGGCAGCUUACUACGGAUCGAUUGACACUGAGGCACGAAAGCGUGGGGAUCAAACAGG
Molecule: ribosomal RNA, 253 nt
Filed under: uncultured bacterium
Lineage: Bacteria
Description: partial 16S ribosomal RNA
Rfam family: Bacterial small subunit ribosomal RNA
Source: RNAcentral